RNAcentral lists this ribosomal RNA (589 nucleotides) under Lepetodrilus fucensis. RNAcentral's name for it is "SSU rRNA". It matches the Rfam family "Eukaryotic small subunit ribosomal RNA", at positions 1196 to 1785 of the family's 1831-position model. Lineage: Eukaryota; Metazoa; Mollusca; Gastropoda; Lepetellida; Lepetodrilidae. The record is from RNAcentral.
UGACUCAACACGGGGAAACUCACCCGGUCCGGACACUGGAAGGAUUGACAGAUUAAAAGCUCUUUCUUGAUUCAGUGGGUGGUGGUGCAUGGCCGUUCUUAGUUGGUGGAGUGAUUUGUCUGGUUAAUUCCGAUAACGAACGAGACUCUAGCCUGCUAACUAGUUCGCCGGCAGCUCUUGUCGCGCGGCGCCGCUUCGGCGGCAAACUUCUUAGAGGGACAGGUGGCGUUUAGCCACACGAAGUAGAGCAAUAACAGGUCUGUGAUGCCCUUAGAUGUCCGGGGCCGCACGCGCGCUACACUGAAAGAAUCAACGUGGAUGCCCACCUGCUCCGAGAGGAGUGGGAAACCCGAUGAAUCUCUUUCGUGAUGGGGAUUGGGGCUUGUAAUUGUUCCCCAUGAACGAGGAAUUCCCAGUAAGCGUCAGUCAUCAGCUGGCGCUGAUUACGUCCCUGCCCUUUGUACACACCGCCCGUCGCUACUACCGAUUGAAUGGUUUAGUGAGACCCUCGGACUGGAGUCCGUCCGCCGCUUUCGGGUGGUGGAUGGGGACGGAAAGACGGUCGAACUUGAUCAUUUAGAGGAAGUAA